Molecule: long non-coding RNA, 1324 nt
Organism: Dermochelys coriacea (leatherback sea turtle)
Lineage: Eukaryota; Metazoa; Chordata; Testudines; Dermochelyidae
Exons: 3
Source: RefSeq, a predicted model, not a curated record
CUGCUGCCGAGACAAGCACACGCAGCCUCUGGAGGAGACAAAAGGUUCCAGCCAGAAACUGCAUUGGCACGAGGAAGUAAUUGCUAGUCCAGCAGGAAGAUUUAGAAACAACAACACAGGUGGCGGCGGCGGCGGCAAUAGCCAGGCGCGGAGUGCUCUCAGCGAAUCUUUCCAGGUGACCAUGCCUCCACGUGCCAGGCGAUCCCCAGAAUGGAGAAAUGGCGAGGUGCUGGACCUCAUCAGUGUUUGGGGGAGGAAGCUGUCCAGUCCCAGCUGUGCUCCAGCUGUAGGAAUUACGAUACCUUCGGGCAGAUAUCAAGGGAUAUGAUGGAAAGGGAUGCACUGCAAUGCGGGAUUAAAGUGAAGGAACUGCAGAAUGCCUACAGCAAAGCCUGCGAGGCAAAAAACGCUCUGGUGCUGCCCCUGCGACCUGCCGUUUCUACAAAGAGCUUGAUGCGAUACUUGGGGCCGACCCCACCUCCACGCCGAGGACCACCAUGGACACUUCAGAGGCCAGUUCAACAAGGCAAGAGGAGGAGGAGGAGCAGCAAAGCGGGAGCGAGGUUGUUCCGGCGGAGGAAGACACCCUGGAAUCCCUAGAUUCCCUAGAGCUGUUCUGAAGCCAGGAGGAAGGCAGCCAGUCGCGCGGCCGGUGCUUGGGGAAGGACAAACACUAGAGGAGGUUCCUGAUGCAACCUUGAGAUCUCAGCCGUCUGUGUUAUCAACGGCCAAGAGGCUGCAAAGAAUUAGGAAGAGGCCACGUAGAAGCAAAGAGGACAUGCUGCAUGAAGUCAUGCAGCAUUCAACUAAUGAAAACAUAAAAGUGCAGAAGUGGAGGGAGAGUGAAAGGAGGGUCCACCAGCAGAAUGCGGAUCGCCGGCACCAAAGCACAGAGCAGCUGAUAAGCAUCAUUGAGCGCCAAGCGGACUUGAUCCAGGCGCUCGUAGCCAUGCAGGUGGAGAACAACUGAGCCUCCCCUCUCCCCCCCCGCAGCCCUUGUCCCAAAACUCUUUCACUUGUGGCACCAUGUCACCUCCAAACCACUUUCCCCAGCAUCCGGGUUCUUACCGCCACCUGCUGCCUCCAACACCUGUAGCUUCACCACCCAGCCCUGAAAACUACGACCCUUACCCACUGCAUUCAACCCCCAUCACCAUGCAGUAUAGCCAUCCUGAACUGCAGCACACAUUGCACAGCACUCCAGACAGGACAUACACAAAUCUGUGAUUGUACCGUUCCCCACCCCACCUCACCCCCCUUGCCCUUUGUGUUUCCCAAGCAGUUGUGUUGUUUUUCUUUUCAAUAAAUUGAUUUUUUGGCUUUG